This 520-nucleotide ribosomal RNA is filed under the name uncultured Entrophospora. RNAcentral describes it as "SSU rRNA". It matches the Rfam family "Eukaryotic small subunit ribosomal RNA", at positions 569 to 1077 of the family's 1831-position model. The record is from RNAcentral. Lineage: Eukaryota; Fungi; Glomeromycota; Glomeromycetes; Entrophosporales; Entrophosporaceae.
AGCAGCCGCGGUAAUUCCAGCUCCAAUAGCGUAUAUUAAAGUUGUUGCAGUUAAAAAGCUCGUAGUUGAAUUUCGGGAUUGACACAUCGGUCGUGCCUUAAGGGGUAUGAACUGGUGUAGUCAAUUUCUCACCUUCUGGAGAACCGCAAUGCCCUUAAUUGGGUGUCGCGGGGAACCAGGACCUUUACUUUGAAAAAAUUAGAGUGUUUAAAGCAGGCAUUUUGCUUGAAUACAUUAGCAUGGAAUAAUAAAAUUAGGACGGCAUGAUUCUAUUUUGUUGGUUUCUAGGAUCACCGUAAUGAUUAAUAGGGAUAGUUGGGGGCAUUAGUAUUCAAUUGUCAGAGGUGAAAUUCUUGGAUUUUAUUGAAGACUAACUACUGCGAAAGCAUUUUGCCAAGGAUGUUUUUCAUUAAUCAAGAACGAAAUGUUAGGGGAUCGAAGACGAUCAGAUACCGUCGUAGUCUUAACCAUAAACUAUGCCGACUAGGAAUCAGACGAUGUUAAUUUUUUUCAAUGACUC